GUCUAUGACCAUACAGCCCUGAGCAUGCUUGAUCUUGUCUGAUUUCAGAAGUUAAGCAGGGUCGGGAAUGGUCAGUACUUGUAUGGGAGAAUAGAUUUAAAUAAUGCUGUGAUGUUCU
Molecule: ribosomal RNA, 118 nt
Filed under: Erinaceus europaeus (western European hedgehog)
Lineage: Eukaryota; Metazoa; Chordata; Mammalia; Eulipotyphla; Erinaceidae
Source: RNAcentral